UUUUUUUUUUUUUUUUUUUUUUAAAGCCCUCAAGCUGACAGAGUUCCCCUUCUCUGCUGAAACUUUGCUGUAUAAAAGGGGCGGAGCUUUAGCGGUUUUGUCCGAGCUGGCUGCUUUGCUGAUUUCUGAGCCGGAAACGAUGUGAGCUAGACGGAUAUCACUACACCGAGAGAGAGAGAGUAUGCCCGUCCCACCCAGACAGAGAGAGAGACAGACCGAGAGAGAGAGAGAGAGUAUGCCCGUCCCACCCAGACAGAGAGAGACAGACCGAGAGAGAGAGAGUAUGCCCGUCCCACCCAGACAGAGAGAGAGCUUGUCCAGUUUUUGAGUCUCUCGCUCCCAGCCGCUGAUGGCUGCGUCAUUGUCGAGAUUCGAACUCCCACUUUCGAAUGGGAUGCGAAAGAACUCGCUCCGGAGUGAAGAGAGAAACGGCGUGUCAUUUUUGUCUCGUUUGUACGUGUUGCAUAGUUUUUCUGCUUCAUAAGCCUCAUGAUUCAAAUAACGACUUCUGGUUGAGGGUACAAAAAAAGCAAAGUCGCAAGGGUGGGUGGGUGUGUGUGUGUGUGUGUGUGUGUGGAGGACGGACCUUCAGCGAGAGUUCUUCGUCUUAAACCCGAGAGAUGAUCUAAACGGGUCUCCGUGACGCUGGGACACGCGCAGCUGGUUUUAAUCUCUGCCUCGAUUCGUUUUGCGUCGGCCGGUUCGGAUUCUCACCGUCGCAUCCAGGAUGGUCACCUUAUUCGUUUGUUUGUUUGUUUGUUUGUUUGUUUAUUUUUUUUAAACACACAAGUCUACAAAAGAACGUCUGAGGAAAAGCUCUGUAGCGUUUUCUCGGUUCUGCCGCACGUGAGCCGAUCGUGGUUCUCGAUGAAGUAGUACGCUUGUGCAGCAUCGCCAGCUGUAGGUUUUAGAGCGCUUCCUUCAAGGAAAUAAACAAACCGCUUCAGAUCGUUUCGUUGUCAAUUCCACUUUAUUUAACCACCUCAGUUUUGUGUUUUGUUUUUCCCCCCGCCUAGAAUGUUCUUCUUCCCUUCCUUCCUUCUUUCUUUCAUUGUUUAUUUUUGUUUGUUUGUUUUAAAUGCCAUAAAAUGGAUGUCCAUAUGAGAAACGGCUCCACUGCUAUGCUUUGUAUACUCGCGUGCUGGAAAUAAAAACGGACGCUCGUUGACGUGCGCGUGGCGGCGUUUCUAUCCGCGCUAGGGCCGCGGGGAUAAUACUUCGGAUUUUCACGAGGCAGAGGCCGUACCCCGCCUGAGCCGACGUUCCCUGAAGUAAAACCGAUCCAGGAUCGGUUCUGGGGCCGUUCGUAUCCCGACGCGGUUUGUGGAAAGUUCCGGAGCUGGUCCGAGAUAUCCGGGGGUGGCGUUUCCGCACACGUGAUGAAGAAAAGCAGCGUUUUCCAGCAUCCAAAGAUCUAAACGCGUCUCCGACCGCACCGCUAACAAGAGCGAGAAUACGCAAACGAGCGACCGUUUAGCGCGGUUCUCCCGGCGCACUCGCCCUCUCUGGGUCCUCUUCGUUCUCUCGCAACGGAACGGAAAAUCCGACGGUAAAACACGCUCGGUCACACGCCUCUCCAUCUCCUCCUCUCCUCCUCCUCCUCACCUUCAUCACAUCAUCAACCGGCUUCUCGCGCAUCGAGUCCACUCGUCAGUUUGCCUUCGUACACGUCCGCGUCCCGACACUCUUCUAGUUCCUUUUUAAAAUCACAGCCAUGAAAAGAGAAGAGAAUAAAUAAAUAAACACCACCACCAUUUGUUGAUUUUUACUUUUUUCUUUAUUUUCUUUAUUUGGUCAUAUUUUCUAAGUGUAUUUUCAAUAACGAGAAACUCUUUUCCUCCCGACGCGGGUAUGGUGAUGGUGUGGUCUAAUUGUACCUUUUUUCGGGAAACAAUACUGUAUAUUCUUCUGCCUUUAACAGUCUUAAUUAUUUUACCUUCUGGAGAACUUGAUGGAAGAACAACCCUGUAAGACACAUGGAGUAUGUUUAAAAAAAAAAAAAAAAUUUAAAAAAAAAAUUAAAAAUGAAAAAAAAUUAAAAAGCCAAAAAAAUAAUAAUUAAAAAAAAUACACAGAAUAAUAUUUUGCAACAUGUAUCAUUCCAAUAAAGUUUUAAUUGUUAAAAUGACGCAAACAAACGUGGGUCCUGUUUUGUUUAAUAACGAACCUUUUUUGUGUGUGUGUGUGUGUGUGUGUGUGUGUGUGUACACAAGUGGGAGGACAUGGAUGUUUUGCUUAGCCUACACAAACACAUUAAAUAUGUUUGAAAUCGGUGACGUGUGCGCUGCUCAUUUGUCGAUCCCGUGCUGUAUUUUUAUUAUUCCCGUAAACGGUUUGCAGCUGUCUCCGGCGCUGACGUCGCACCACGUGGGGGCGCUGUUAGCGCUAGUGCGGUUACAAGGGCGGGGACAAAUUAAACCAUUUCAAUCGUCUCAAUUUUGCUCUUAAAAACAAAAGCGCAGGAGCGACGUUUCUCGUUUUUGAGCGUCAUGUUAAUGAGCGACGUCGGAGCAAAGCGCCGGACUCAAAAGUCCCCAGAAUGCAACGCGGCAGAGAUCCGGUUCGGCCGCGUGGCGAUCUGCGAGACGACGAGCGCAACGGUGUUGGCGUGAAAUUUAGUGCUUUGUUACGGACGAGGAGAUGGACGGACUGAAGGACUAAAGCACCGCCGCGGCGCAUCGCUCUCCGACGUCGGAAACCGAAGUGAGAAGAAGUUUAAAACUAAAAACCCAACUCGGUUCUGGACGCAGUUUAAGAGCGUAUGUUAAUUAUAAAGAUGAAUAUGUAAAUUGCUUCGGGUGGAGUUUCUUUAAAUAACCUAAGCGCGUUGGUCAAUCGCUAAACUAGCUGGUUCUGCUUUACUCGCGACAUGUCCGACCUGAUAAAAUAAAUUCUGCUAAAUUUAUCCAUAACGUCGUUUAGAGUGAAACUGAAUGUGAUUAGAGUUUGAUUAGGAG
Molecule: long non-coding RNA, 2957 nt
Organism: Ictalurus punctatus (channel catfish)
Lineage: Eukaryota; Metazoa; Chordata; Actinopteri; Siluriformes; Ictaluridae
Source: Ensembl